UACGGGGGGGGCAAGCGUUGUUCGGAAUUACUGGGCGUAAAGGGCUCGUAAGCGGCCAACUAAGUCAGACGUGAAAUCCCUCGGCUUAACCGGGGAACUGCGUCUGAUACUGGAUGGCUAGAGGUUGGGAUAGGGAUGCGGAAUUCCAGGUGUAGCGGUGAAAUGCGUAGAUAUUGGAAGGAACAUCAGUGGCGAAGGCGACUUUCUGGACAGAUACUGACACUGAGGCACGAAAGCGUGGGGAGCAAACAGG
RNAcentral lists this ribosomal RNA (253 nucleotides) under uncultured bacterium. RNAcentral's name for it is "partial 16S ribosomal RNA". It matches the Rfam family "Bacterial small subunit ribosomal RNA", at positions 524 to 776 of the family's 1533-position model. The record is from RNAcentral.